UACAGAGGGGGCAAGCGUUGUUCGGAAUUACUGGGCGUAAAGGGCGCGUAGGCGGCCUGUUAAGUCGAACGUGAAAUCCCCGGGCUCAACCCGGGAACUGCGUCCGAUACUGGCAGGCUUGAAUUCGGGAGAGGGAUGCGGAAUUCCAGGUGUAGCGGUGAAAUGCGUAGAUAUCUGGAGGAACACGGGUGGCGAAGGCGGCAUCCUGGACCGAGAUUGACGCUGAGGCGCGAAAGCCAGGGGAGCAAACGGG
RNAcentral lists this ribosomal RNA (253 nucleotides) under uncultured bacterium. Its description in RNAcentral is "partial 16S ribosomal RNA". It matches the Rfam family "Bacterial small subunit ribosomal RNA", at positions 524 to 776 of the family's 1533-position model. The record is from RNAcentral.